AUGCCGGAGGCAAAUGCGGGUGCCCGCGGCGGCGGCGAGCAGCGCAGCAAGGUUCAGAGUUCAGACGUGAUGAGUUUCUUCAGUGAAUAUGGAGAUGCCAGCAGAUACAAGAUCGAGGAAAUCAUCGGCAAAGGGAGUUAUGGAGUUGUGUGUUCAGCCAUCGACCGGCAGACCGGCGACAAGGUUGCCAUAAAGAAGGUGUCCAACAUCUUCGAGCAUAUAACCGAUGCCGCCCGGAUCCUCCGCGAGAUCAAGCUUCUCCGGCUUCUCAGGCACCCCGACAUCGUCCAGAUCAAGCACAUAAUGCUGCCUCCCUCCAGGAGGGACUACAAGGACAUAUUUGUUGUCUUUGAGCUCAUGGACACAGACCUCCACCAGGUUAUCAAGGCCAAUGAUGACUUGACAAAGGAGCACUACCAGUUCUUUCUCUAUCAGAUGCUCCGUGCGCUCAAAUAUAUCCAUACUGCUAAUGUCUAUCAUCGUGAUUUGAAGCCAAAAAACAUAUUGGCAAAUGCAAACUGCAAGCUCAAGAUAUGUGAUUUUGGACUAGCAAGAGUUGCAUUCAAUGACACCCCUACAACUGUUUUCUGGACGGACUAUGUUGCCACUAGGUGGUACAGAGCUCCGGAGCUCUGUGGUUCUUUCUUUACCAAGUAUUCACCGGCUAUUGAUACAUGGAGCAUUGGUUGCAUUUUUGCGGAGAUCUUGACAGGAAAGCCUUUGUUCCCUGGUAAAAAUGUGGUUCAGCAGUUGGAUAUGAUGACUGAUUUCUUAGGCUCACCGUCGCCUGAGAUUAUUUCUCGGAUUCGAAAUGAGAAGGCAAGGAGGUAUCUUAGCAGCAUGAGGAAGAAACUGCCAGUACCUUUUUCAGAGAAGUUCCCCAAAGCAGAUCCUGCAGCAGUCAAGCUCUUGCAAAAGCUUCUAGCAUUUGACCCAAAGGACCGACCCACUGCUGAAGAGGCGUUGGCUGAUCCCUAUUUCAAUGGCCUCGCGAAAGUGGAGAGAGAACCAUCAUGCCAACCGAUUUCGAAAAUGGAGUUUGAGUUUGAACGGAGAAAGUUUACCAGAGAGGACGUCAAGGAACUUAUAUUCAGGGAGAUAUUGGAGUACCACCCUCAGCUUCUCAAGGAUUACAGCAACGGCUCAGAGAAAACGAACUUUCUAUAUCCUAGUGCUGUCGACAACUUCCGGAGGCAAUUUGCUAACUUAGAGGAAGAUGGAGGAAAGGGCGGGGCAGCCGAGAGGAAGCAUGUUUCUCUCCCGAGGACUACAACAGUUCACUCUACCCCAGUUCCUACAACAAAUUGUCCGGCCUCCCAAGCUCCUCAAAGGAUUCCAGCAGCCCGACCGGGCAGAGUGAUUGCCUCAGCGACACCAACCGAGAACGCGGCCUUCACCGAUCGACAAAUGGGUCGAAGAAUGGCGAGGGACCCCGCGGGGGCUCCAGCAGCGGCUGCCGGUCACCACCUGAGGCCGGACUGCUCCGACAGGCAACAUGAGGUGGAGAAGGACCGCGCGCACUACAGGCCGUCGCACCAUUUCAGGGACGCCAGGGUGGCGCCCGAGGCCGAGGCGCGGCCCUCGGCCUACUACAUUCCCCCGUUCAAUGGCAUCGCAGCGGUUGGCGCGGCAGGAAGGAUGUACUAG
Molecule: ribosomal RNA, 1647 nt
Filed under: Triticum aestivum (bread wheat)
Lineage: Eukaryota; Viridiplantae; Streptophyta; Magnoliopsida; Poales; Poaceae
Description: partial small subunit ribosomal RNA
Source: RNAcentral